Molecule: unclassified non-coding RNA, 289 nt
Filed under: uncultured fungus
Lineage: Eukaryota; Fungi
Description: partial contains small subunit ribosomal RNA, internal transcribed spacer 1, and 5.8S ribosomal RNA
Rfam family: Eukaryotic small subunit ribosomal RNA (bases 1-73)
Source: RNAcentral
GCAAACUUGGUCAUUUAGAGGAAGUAAAAGUCGUAACAAGGUCUCCGUUGGUGAACCAGCGGAGGGAUCAUUAAAAAAAAAAGAGUGAAAACUCACUAAACCCCCUGUAAAUUAUACUUUUUUGGUUGCUUCGGCAGGCGGCCCCAGGGCGGGGUCUGCAGCUCCUUCGAGUGCCUGCCGACAGCGCAUUUAGACCCGUUCUAUAUGGUAAUUCUGAGCAAAAACAAGAAAAACACAAAAAACUUUCAGCAACGGAUCUCUUGGUUCUGGCAUCGAUGAAGAACGCAGC